Siniperca chuatsi (mandarin fish) is the source of this 6376-nucleotide long non-coding RNA. RefSeq lists it as uncharacterized. The record is from RefSeq and is a predicted model, not a curated record. Lineage: Eukaryota; Metazoa; Chordata; Actinopteri; Centrarchiformes; Sinipercidae. The transcript is spliced from 3 exons.
AGCAGCAGAGAUGGAAAUGGUGUGAGAGGCAAUCUUUUUCAUGGCUGCUAUGGUAAUUCUUCUUUUAUUCUCUAAACUGAGGUCUAUUCCUUCAUUUAAAUUGGCUGGUUUUCCCCUCAUUUUUGGCUUACAGUCAAAGAAUGCCAACAGUAGAGGACAUACCUUUGGUUUAAAAACAAGAUCCAAGAAUUUAAUUAAAAUGAAUGGUUAUGCAAUGAUGGCUAGAUGCCAGUGGCAAAAUUAACCCACAAUAAAGAGAAAACAAACACUAAUAUCAAGACUGUUGUCAUGGGAGUUUUAGUGAUAACCUCCAACCCUACAGCAAAACAUUUGUGCAAAUACAAUGCUUUCUCUUACUCAUUUUAAGCCACUGAUAGAAAGAAAAAUGAUACAUAAAGGUCUAGUUUACAAACAUUACAUGAACUGAUUUUUUUUCUCUGUUGAAAAUCUCAUGUGUUUGGGCUAUAUCUGUUCCCAACCAUUAGUAAUCAGGCUAUUUCCACAGCUGAAGGAGAAAGAUGCAGUCCUAACACCACUGUAAGCAGGGGGGCUCAGCUGGGGUUGAUGUGUGCGAGUGUCUUUUGUGUCUGUGUAGAUAUAUGUGUCCUUUCCUGAAAGCUCAGGUGCUCUCAGGCGAAGUGUGAAGAGGGUUAUGUGAGGCAGAGAGACAAAGAGUGAGAUACAGAUUUUAGAGCUCAUACAGUGAAUUGCUGCAGAGCGAGCUGAAGCAAGAGGAAGAGGCUGUUGUUAUUUCCAUCCUCACUCGUAUAAGCUUAAGAGACCACACUGCCUGUUUCUUCAGAGUCAAUUCACGUGUCACAUACGCCAUCUUUCCUUUUCUGACAGGCACAAUAUCUGCCUCCAAUAUCCUCAAACAAUGUACAGAUUAUUAGUUUGCUACUGAUGCCGCACUACAAAUUCCCACCAACCAUCCAGUAAAUGUGUAUAAAACAGAGCUCCAACGAUUGGUUGAUUAAUUAGCUGAUAGACAGAAAAUAAAUUUGGCGACUAUUUUGAUAUAUAUUAGUUAAUCAUUUAAGACAAAUGCCAAAAAAUUGAUAGUUCCAGGUUCUCAAAUUUCAGAAUUUGCUGCUUUUCUUGGUCUUUAAUGACAAUUGAAUAUUUUUGGGGUUUUGGACUGUCGGUUGGACAAAACCUUGGGCUCUAGGACAUUGUGAUGGGCAUUCUCCACUGUUUUCUUAUGUUUUAUAGACCAAACAAUUAAUCAAGAAAUGAAUCUGCAGAUUAAUCGAUUUCAGAAAUAAUUGUCAGCCCUAGUAUGUAAUUAAUUAAUUAGAGGCUAAGAAUUAAUAAACAAUCAAGCACAUUAUGGCUGGUAAUACUGCAUUUGUCGUAUCUUUGUUUAAUUUUAUUUAUGUGUGUGCAAGUGCAAGGUCUAUCACCAUACUGGACACAUCGUUGUAAAGACUGGAAUAAACAGCAUUCUGUCUUUUAAUUUUCUCAUUUCUGUGUCUGUUUGCUGAGGCUCCAGUACCCAACCCCAUAGGGAGGCAAUCUCAUAUGAAAAGCCUUUUCAAGUGGUGUACUACUCAAACACAUCAAUUUCACAUUCAAAUCUGUGCUGAAAAAAAAAGGACUAUACUAAGUGGCCAGUGGCUGCUAUUAAGAGCUUGAUGAAUGCAGAAAAAAAUGACUUCAUUAUGUUUGAAUGAUCACUUCUAGUUUUGUAUGUUACUCUCUUGUUGCUUAGUGUAUCAAGAAUAGUUAAAAGAGAAGAAUAUGUUUGACAGCUGGUUAACUCUGUAAGCCUGCCUUUGACCUUCGCAACUGUCUAAUGUGCUUUUGGCAGCGUUUUGGAUAUCCUGUUACUGUGUUGUCAUGCUACUGCAAAACACAAAAGGCAGAGCAAACACGAAUACAACAACAUACAAUUAAAGGAAUCUUUUCAACCUGCUUUAAAUAAAUGCUGAAUACACAAUAAAUAAGCAGAUCACAUAUGUGUUAUGUUUUGUACAUAUUCCAACAUUACAUCCUAAAAUGAGACUGAAAGUCACAAAAAAUACAAUAACAAUGAUGAACUGAAUUUUUUCACUUAAUAUGCUUAAUAGAUUAAUCAUUAGGUCUAUAAAACAUCAGAAAACAGUGAAAAAUGCCCAUUAGAAUAUCCUAGAGGCCAACGCAACAUCAUCAAAUGUCUAGUUGUCAAAAAUAUUCGUUAAACCAUAACGUAAGACCAAUAAAAAUAAUUCAUUCUCACAUUUGAGAACCUGGCAUUUCUGCUUAAAAUGCUCAAAAUAGUUGUCAAUUAAUUUUCUCUCGAUCAACUAAUCUAUUAAUUAACUAAUCACUGCUGCUCAACUUCCAAUUGUUUACAAGGUCUGCUUAUAAGUUCUGGGGACACAAUGCAUAUUGCAUAAGGAAUUUAACAUUGAUUUUCUUGUAAUUCUAUAAGGUAAAUAGUAUAAAGCAACAAAUACUAGAAAUGAAUGGCCAAUACGCUAAAAAUAAUUUUCUCAGUAAAUCAAUGAAUUUCCAGCGUUGACCUGUUGCAAUACACUUUAAACACUAUUAAAAUUCAUGGAUGUGAAACAUAUUGAGUUUAUAGGAAAGAAAGUCAAAUUAUUGGAGUGAUUUUCUGUUGAGGCUCCUCUAGUCCCUUUACAAUUUGCUGCCUUCCACAAUUUUACGAGCUUUUUCAUCCCUCUUAAUAUUCUUGAGCAUCAUCCAAGAAGAAUUAUGUCUUGGACCAUGAAAAAGAAAUAUUCUCUUUACGUAGUGUUGUGCAUUCUUUGUCGUUUAUCUAGCAACCACAAAUAGUAAAGCAUACUCUCAUAAUCUACAUUUCACAUCUGACAGGUUUGUGCGUUGUUUAUUCAGACAGUGCAUAUGGCACACAAGGGUAACCUCAGCACUUCCAGCUUGCAGCCUUCAUGAACACACCAUCCCUGGUGCACAAUGUUGACAGCUACAGCCACCGACUCUUCUUAAAGAGUAACUCAGCUUUACAGCAUAUUUAUCUUUUAGCUCUUAAUGUAUUUGUGCACCUUCCAAUCACUGAAACAUAUCAUUUCAUACCCUUAUUUCAACAUGUUUGAAAAUAUACAUGUCUGACAGUUAAAGAUAAACUAAAAGAGACCCCGCUUCACUCCAUAGAAGAGAAAUUAAGGAUACCCUGUGGACACACCACAGGAGACAAAAGCAAUCUGCAGACUUCCGUGGUGCACAGUGGAGCAAAACUGAUGUAGAUCAAGCUGAGCAAGUCCAAAAGAGGCUUAAAGGCAAGUAUAAUCAUAUGCCAGUUGAACCAAUAUGUUUCUUAUUUUGUUAUUCUUUAACAAAAGGGAAAGUUUAAUCCCUCUCAUCACACACAAUCCACCCACAACCCACUGGCUACCGCUAAAGCAAACAUAUACACUCUACCCUUUUUCCCUCUGUCUUCACCCACCCCUCCAUAGAUGUUCUAGUUCAUCCAACUCAAACAACCCAUUCGCUCCAUCCACUUCACUCCAUCUUUCCCUUUAAGCCCUGGACUGCAAACAAAGGAAAAUGAACAAAGUGGGAUGAGACAAACAGUUUGGUCCGAUCAACAGAAAGAAGAAGACUUUUCAGUCUGCCAAGAGGGAGCCCCUACAAGGCGUAGGACUCUUUCUUCACUAAUUGGAAUGAAUAUCAAUAGUUGAAAAUCAAAAUAGACAUUAGAAAGUACAAAAGACAAACUAGACAUUGCUCUGAAUAAAUUAAAAAAAAUAAUAAAACACCAGGGAUGGUCGAACAGCUGGGUGCAAUAAGAUCUUCAGAGAUGAUCUGAUACCGGUACUCUUCAAUUCCUUUAAUUGGACACUUGAUAAAACAUCUCUUCCACUUUCAUGGAGAGAAGUGAUAAUUACUGCUUUAACAAAAAAAAAAAGGGCAAAAAUAAAAUUAUGCUCUAAACCAGGACAAAUGGUAGGCAUCUAUUAUGUCUUAUUUCUUCCUUUAUUCUAGAUUCCUUUAAUUGAGACCUAAAUAAUGUUCAAACUUAUUUUGUAAGAGGAUGCCAAAUACAAUUUCACAUGCUCUCUUCAUAUUCAGGAAUAAUAAAUUAAACGCUCUAUUUGCCAGUUUUGGCACGAAGAAAGAUUUUGACUGUAUUAUGAAUAUCUGAUUUUUUUAUUAGAAUAAUUUGUAUUUCCUGAAAACUCAAUUAUAGCAUCAAAGAAAUAUACUCUUAUGCCAGAAUUAAAAUAAAUUAAUAUUUUGGAGUGAUCCACCAAUCAGGGUUACUCUUUGUCACCAACCCUUAUUGCUCUUUAUAUAUAACCUUUGGCAAUAUAGGAGAAAAUGGAGGGAAUUAUAAACAAUAACAUAUAAUAAUACAUAAAAAGCUUGCACAGUAUGCUGAUGAUGUAAUAUUAUACGGUUUCGACCAAAAACUGGCAAUAUCUAAAAGGUACAACUCAAAACCUCUCAUUUCUCUUACGUUACUGUACAUACUGCACCUAGCUUGAAGUGGUAAAACUGCAAAAUCAGGGGAAUCAGACAUAUGGGGUGCACAGUUUUAAAGCAACUAUGUCCAGGAUUGUUAUGUGAUUAUAGCAUCUUUAAAAUUAUUUAAAUUCAAAUUGUUUGCAGAAAUCCCAGUGAAAUGAUGUGUUGCUUUCAGCCCAUUCAUCUUAGUAUCCCCAGGUCAGAUCCAUGGGAGGUUGUAAAGUCGUUUCCCACUACUAUUUGAUGGACUCAAGAUAACCAAAAAUGUUUGGAAAGUAAAGCAUUGGAGAAGAGUAGUGCUACUUGUUAAAUUUUGAUGGACUUGAAGUGAAGCUCACACUGGUCUGCACCUCACUAUAUAUAUACUUUUCAAAUAGAUGAGGCUGGCAUAAAACCAACUGUAAACAGAAUGGUUUGAAAUCUUUCCCACAAAAAAAAAUGCAUCUGUAAAACAAAAAAAGAGAUACCCCUUGUACUCAUCUGAGAGCUGGUAUGUGCAGUAUAUAUUGCUAUUGUUAGAUUUUUUGUAACAGGCUUUUGGCCUGCGAGCACACACAGCUAUCUCUGUAGAGUGAGCCACUUACAGUUGCUCAAUAAUCCAUUUACUUGCCUUUGCUAUUGGCGUGACUGUAAUUUCAAUCACAUGGACAGUGGGAAGAUAAGUGGGGAGCUGUCUACUGAAAGCUGCCUGAUGGUGACAUGGCCUGAAAUGGAGUAAUGGUUCCUAGCUUGUUGCCUUAAUCAAGAAUCAUCAGGUUCACAACAGUGAUGGGAAAAGGAAAGAGGGAGAGGAAAACUACAAGAAUCAAAUACUCUUUUGAAAACAGAGUGAAAACACUGACAGCUGAUGGAAAGCUGACAGCCUCCUCUGAGGGGAAUUACCACUGUUGAUCUUUCUCACAAGUGCAGUGAGGUCACUCUUCACAUUAUUGGGUAAUGUGACAUUUUUCUGAAGUGUGCCCAACGUAAACAUAAUUUUCAACAAAAUUACUUUACACAGCUACAAAGCGCUGCAGAGCACUGUGGAUCACAUGUUAAACGUGUACUGUAUGUGAAAUAUUUAAUAGUUUAUUGGUUAUUAGCAUGCAAAUACAUUUUUAAAUGACUUUAAGACAUUCAGUUAAAUAAAAGGAACUAGAGCCUGAUUAAGUGAUCAAUUGUUUACUCUAUAAAAUGUCAGAAAAUAGUGUAACAUUUUCCUAAGUUCAAAGGAAGUCUUCAAAUGUCAUGUUUUGUCUGACCAACCGUACAAAAUCCAAUGGUAUUAAAAUUUGUAUCACGUUAGACAAAGAAAAGAAGAAGCUGCAACCAGAGAAUUUGUAGUAUUUUUAGUGGGAAAAAUUACUAAAACAAUUAAUUGAUUAUAAGAAUAGUUGCAGAUUAAUUCUCUGUUGAUCGAUUAAUCAACUAAUAAUUUCACCACUAAUCGGUCUGUGUAUAUGUUGGCUGAGAAGUAACAAAAAACUGCAGUACAGAAAUGUCAAAGAUAUGUUUGAGGUGAUUUAGAAACACUGACGUCAUUACAUAGUUUGUCCACCAGAGAACACUGAGUUUAGUUUUUAAAUGUUAACUGUCCCUCGCAGUAUUUUAUCAUUAUGUAUAUUAUGGCUACAAUUAUAUAAAAACAUGUUUUAAGGAAUCCUUAUGAAAAAUGUUUGUUUAUGUUAUGUAUUUAUGUAAAAACAAAAAUCAGCCAAUUUUUUAAAACUCUUAAAUAUCAGUAUCAGUAUUGAUAAAAAUUAAGUAUCCAUCAAGCUAUACAAGGAACUCACUUGGGUGGAAAAACAUCCACCAACACUUUUCAACCACCUUAAGUGAUUCAUUGGCCGCGUCUAGUUUAACAUCCUCACUUCCACCAGCUACUUGAACUGUGCAAAAAAUCCCCAAUUCCUAACCUGACAAAUAAACAAAAUUGAGGCAGCAGGCUAACUGCAUUCAUGCUAACUAG